This 495-nucleotide ribosomal RNA is filed under the name uncultured bacterium. RNAcentral's name for it is "partial 16S ribosomal RNA". It matches the Rfam family "Bacterial small subunit ribosomal RNA", at positions 28 to 507 of the family's 1533-position model. The record is from RNAcentral.
GACGAACGCUGGCGGCGUGCCUAAUACAUGCAAGUAGAACGCUGAAGCAGGAGCUUGCUUCUCUGGAUGAGUUGCGCACGGGUGAGUAACGCGUAGGUAACCUGCCUGGUAGCGGGGGAUAACUCUUGGAAACGAUAGCUCAUACCGCAUAAGAGUAGAUGUUGCAUGACAUUUGCUUAAAAGGUGCAAUUGCAUCACUACCAGAUGGACCUGCGUUGUAUUAGGUAGUUGGUGGGGUAACGGCUUACCAAGGCGACGAUACAUAGCCGACCUGGGAGGGUGGUCGGCCACACUGGGACUGGGACACGGCCCAGACCCCUACGGGAAGGAGCAGUAGGGAAUCUUCGGCAAUGGACGGAAGUCUGACCGAGCAACGCCGCGGGAGUGAAGAAGGUUUUCGGAUCGUAAAGCUCUGUUGUAAGAGAAGAACGAGUGUGGGAGUGGAAAGUUCACACUGUGACGGUAUCUUACCAGAAAGGGACGGCUAACUACGUG